GAUGAAGCCGAAGCUUGCUUUGGUGGAUUAGUGGCGAACGGGUGAGUAACACGUGAGUAACCUGCCCCUGACUCUGGGAUAAGCCUGGGAAACUGGGUCUAAUACCGGAUAUGACUGCGGAACGCAUGUUCUGUGGUGGAAAGAUUUAUCGGUUGGGGAUGGACUCGCGGCCUAUCAGCUUGUUGGUGAGGUAAUGGCUCACCAAGGCGACGACGGGUAGCCGGCCUGAGAGGGUGACCGGCCACACUGGGACUGAGACACGGCCCAGACUCCUACGGGAGGCAGCAGUGGGGAAUAUUGCACAAUGGGCGAAAGCCUGAUGCAGCGACGCCGCGUGAGGGAUGACGGCCUUCGGGUUGUAAACCUCUUUCAGUAGGGAAGAAGCGAGAGUGACGGUACCUGCAGAAGAAGCGCCGGCUAACUACGUGCCAGCAGCCGCGGUAAUACGUAGGGCGCAAGCGUUAUCCGGAUUUAUUGGGCGUAAAGAGCUCGUAGGCGGUUUGUCGCGUCUGCCGUGAAAGUCCGAGGCUCAACCUCGGAUCUGCGGUGGGUACGGGCAGACUAGAGUGAUGUAGGGGAGACUGGAAUUCCUGGUGUAGCGGUGAAAUGCGCAGAUAUCAGGAGGAACACCGAUGGCGAAGGCAGGUCUCUGGGCAUUUACUGACGCUGAGGAGCGAAAGCAUGGGGAGCGAACAGGAUUAGAUACCCUGGUAGUCCAUGCCGUAAACGUUGGGCACUAGGUGUGGGGGACAUUCCACGUUUUCCGCGCCGUAGCUAACGCAUUAAGUGCCCCGCCUGGGGAGUACGGCCGCAAGGCUAAAACUCAAAGGAAUUGACGGGGGCCCGCACAAGCGGCGGAGCAUGCGGAUUAAUUCGAUGCAACGCGAAGAACCUUACCAAGGCUUGACAUGUUCCAGACCGGGCUAGAGAUAGUCCUUCCCUUCGGGGCUGGUUCACAGGUGGUGCAUGGUUGUCGUCAGCUCGUGUCGUGAGAUGUUGGGUUAAGUCCCGCAACGAGCGCAACCCUCGUUCCAUGUUGCCAGCACGUAGUGGUGGGGACUCAUGGGAGACUGCCGGGGUCAACUCGGAGGAAGGUGGGGAUGACGUCAAAUCAUCAUGCCCCUUAUGUCUUGGGCUUCACGCAUGCUACAAUGGCCGGUACAAUGGGUUGCGAUACUGUGAGGUGGAGCUAAUCCCUAAAAGCCGGUCUCAGUUCGGAUUGGGGUCUGCAACUCGACCCCAUGAAGUCGGAGUUCGCUAGUAAUCGCAGAUCAG
Molecule: ribosomal RNA, 1275 nt
Filed under: Arthrobacter sp.
Lineage: Bacteria; Bacillati; Actinomycetota; Actinomycetes; Micrococcales; Micrococcaceae
Description: bacterial SSU rRNA
Rfam family: Bacterial small subunit ribosomal RNA
Source: RNAcentral